GACGAACGCUGGCGGCGUGCUUAACACAUGCAAGUCGAACGGUGACGGGGAGCUUGCUCCCCUGAUCAGUGGCGAACGGUGAGUAACACGUGGGCAAUCUGCCCCUGACUUCGGGAUAACGCUUCGAAAGAGGUGCUAAUACCGGAUAUGAACCUCGCAGGCAUCUGCGAGGUUGGAAAGUUUCUCGGUCAGGGAUGAGCCCGCGGCCUAUCAGCUAGUUGGUGAGGUAAUGGCUCACCAAGGCGACGACGGUAGCCGGCCUGAGAGGGCGACCGGCCACACUGGGACUGAGACACGGCCCAGACUCCUACGGGAGGCAGCAGUGGGGAAUAUUGCGCAAUGGGCGAAAGCCUGACGCAGCAACGCCGCGUGAGGGAUGACGGCCUU
RNAcentral lists this ribosomal RNA (387 nucleotides) under uncultured bacterium. Its description in RNAcentral is "bacterial SSU rRNA". It matches the Rfam family "Bacterial small subunit ribosomal RNA", at positions 28 to 418 of the family's 1533-position model. The record is from RNAcentral.